GGUGAACGCUGGCGGCGUGCCUAAGACAUGCAAGUCGAGCGGGGCAGGUUUAUACCUGUUCAGCGGCGGACGGGUGAGUACCGCGUGGGUGACCUACCCGGAAGAGGCGGACAACCUGGGGAAACCCAGGCUAAUCCGCCAUGUGGUCCUGUCCUGUGGGGCAGGACUAAAGGGUGGAUAGCCCGCUUCCGGCUGGGCCCGCGUCCCGUCAGCUAGUUGGUGGGGUAAAGGCCCACCAAGGCGACGACGGGUAGCCGGUCUGAGAGGAUGGCCGGCCACAGGGGCACGGAGAAGCUGGCGCCACUCCUGCGGGAGGCAGCAGUGAGGAAUGCUCCGCAAUGGCCGGACGUCUGACGGCGCGACGCGGCUGCGAGGAGGAAGCCCGUCGGGGUGUAAACUCAUGAACUGGGGACGAAAGCCCUGUGUAGGGGGAUGACGGUACCCAGGUAAUAGCGCCGGCCAACUCCGUG
This 470-nucleotide ribosomal RNA is filed under the name uncultured bacterium. RNAcentral describes it as "partial 16S ribosomal RNA". It matches the Rfam family "Bacterial small subunit ribosomal RNA", at positions 28 to 507 of the family's 1533-position model. The record is from RNAcentral.